AAAUAAAUAAGUGAUAAAAAGAUGUUGGGAAAGUGUGGAUUGAGAAAAGUGAGAAAAUGUGGUUAAAAGGUGAAGAGGUGAUAUAAAAAGAAUGCAAGUGUAUGUCCCUAAGGGGAUGCAUCAAGUUGGGUACGGGGACUCCUAACUUUGUGACUUCAAUUUUCCCUUUGAUUAGAAAGGAUAACUAGCGUGCUAAAGCUAUUUUGUAGCCACACUCGCUCGUUUCCCUUAUCGAAAGGGGACUCUCAAGCAAAUGUACCCUAUAACUAGCAUGAGAUGCAAAAACCUAAAAAUGAGGAGAGAAGGGGUUCGAGGAUCAUGCCAAAUGAUAAAACUAAGAAAAAUGCAUGAAAUGUAGUGAACAUGCAAGUAUGCACUAAUGAAAGAGGGACGGCCUAUUGGGUCUAGCGUUGGACUAGCCCUUUCUUUGAAUUCCUAACGGAAUAAUGAGCCACAACUAGCAUUGGACCAGUGUGGUGACAUACAUUCAUCCAUCACAUUCAUCUACAACUAUAGAAAGCAAGUAGACAUGCCAAACACUCAUAAACACAUAGCACAUAACACUUAUAGCUAGUUUGGGAGAUGAGAUUUGAACAGAAAAGAAAGGAAUAGAAGAGAAAGACUGCAUCUCCCACGUUUGAGAGCUUUAAGUGGAAUGAAAGGAAAAGAAACCGACGGAAUUGGAAGGAGGAAAAAGUA
RNAcentral lists this long non-coding RNA (699 nucleotides) under Coffea arabica (coffee). RNAcentral's name for it is "long non-coding RNA (CARA_LNC005077)". The record is from RNAcentral. Lineage: Eukaryota; Viridiplantae; Streptophyta; Magnoliopsida; Gentianales; Rubiaceae.